RNAcentral lists this ribosomal RNA (305 nucleotides) under uncultured bacterium. RNAcentral describes it as "bacterial SSU rRNA". It matches the Rfam family "Bacterial small subunit ribosomal RNA", at positions 337 to 639 of the family's 1533-position model. The record is from RNAcentral.
GCCUACGGGACGCAGCAGUGAGGAAUAUUGGUCAAUGGACGCGAGUCUGAACCAGCCAAGUAGCGUGAAGGAUGACUGUCCUAUGGGUUGUAAACUUCUUUUAUAUGGGAGUAAAGUGCGCCACGUGUGGCUUUUUGUGUGUACCCUACGAAUAAGGAUCGGCUAACUCCGUGCCAGCAGCCGCGGUAAUACGGAGGAUCCGAGCGUUAUCCGGAUUUAUUGGGUUUAAAGGGUGCGUAGGCGGAUUAUUAAGUCAGUUGUGAAAUUUUGCGGCUCAACCGUAAAAUUGCAGUUGAUACUGGUAU